Molecule: ribosomal RNA, 207 nt
Filed under: uncultured bacterium
Lineage: Bacteria
Description: partial 16S ribosomal RNA
Rfam family: Bacterial small subunit ribosomal RNA
Source: RNAcentral
CACGUAGGCGGGUCGCUAAGUCGGGGGUGAAAUCCUGGGGCUCAACCUCAGAACUGCCUUCGAUACUGGCGACCUUGAGUACGGGAGAGGUGAGUGGAAUUCCCAGUGUAGAGGUGAAAUUCGUAGAUAUUGGGAAGAACACCAGUGGCGAAGGCGGCUCACUGGCCCGUAACUGACGCUGAGGUGCGAAAGCGUGGGGAGCAAACA